GAAUGGAGGAGGAGAGGCAGGGGGUGGGGAUGCUGGUGGUGGAGUGACUGGGGCCGGUGGAGGAGAAGACUGGACUGGUGGUGGAGUAGAUGAUACAGGUGGAGGUGAAGAUUGCUGAACCGGUGGGGGAGCGGACUGAACUGGUGGAGGAGAAGCUUGGACAGGAGGUGGAGAAGACUGAGCAGUUGGAGGAGCAGACUGAACAGGUGGAGGGGAAGCUUGGGGAGUUGUUGGAGGAGUAUUAGUAGGAGGAGUGGGUGGUGCUGGAGAGGCGUUUGGGGAGGUGGAUGGAGGUUGUUGGGCUC
This 305-nucleotide long non-coding RNA is filed under the name Trifolium pratense (red clover). RNAcentral describes it as "long non-coding RNA (TPRA_LNC000123)". Lineage: Eukaryota; Viridiplantae; Streptophyta; Magnoliopsida; Fabales; Fabaceae. The record is from RNAcentral.